This 886-nucleotide ribosomal RNA is filed under the name Dendrographa alectoroides. Its description in RNAcentral is "LSU rRNA". It matches the Rfam family "Eukaryotic large subunit ribosomal RNA", at positions 40 to 943 of the family's 3401-position model. Lineage: Eukaryota; Fungi; Ascomycota; Arthoniomycetes; Arthoniales; Roccellaceae. The record is from RNAcentral. RNAcentral also lists the same sequence under 1 other name.
AUAUCAAUAAGCGGAGGAAAAGAAACCAACAGGGAUUGCCCUAGUAACGGCGAGUGAAGCGGCAACAGCUCAAAUUUGAAAUCUGGCCCUUUCAGGGUCCGAGUUGUAAUUUGCAGAGGGUGCUUCGGCGUCGGCCCCGGGCCAAGUCCCCUGGAACGGGGCGUCCUAGAGGGUGAGAACCCCGUACCCACCCGGGUGCCCUUCGCCGUGUGAAGCCCCUUCGACGAGUCGAGUUGUUUGGGAAUGCAGCUCUAAGCGGGAGGUAAAUUUCUUCUAAAGCUAAAUACCGGCCAGAGACCGAUAGCGCACAAGUAGAGUGAUCGAAAGAUGAAAAGCACUUUGGAAAGAGAGUUAAAAAGCACGUGAAAUUGUUGAAAGGGAAGCUCUUGCCGCCAGACUUGCCGCGGUUGCUCAGCCGCCCUCCGGGGCGGUGUACUCUUCCGUCGACAGGCCAGCGUCGGUUCGGGCGACCGGAUAAAGGCCUCGGGAAUGUAGCACCUCUCGGGGUGUGUUAUAGCCCGGGGCGCAAUGCGGUCAGCCCGGUCCGAGGCACGCGUUCGCGAGGACGCUGGCGUAAUGGCCGCAAGCGACCCGUCUUGAAACACGGACCAAGGAGUCUAACAUCUGUGCGAGUGUUUGGGCGUCAAACCCAUGCGCGUAAUGAAAGUGAACGGAGGUGGGAACCCCCUCGAGGGGCGCACCAUCGACCGAUCCUGAUGUCUUCGGAUGGAUUUGAGUAAGAGCAUAGCUGUUGGGACCCGAAAGAUGGUGAACUAUUCCCGGAUAGGGUGAAGCCAGAGGAAACUCUGGUGGAGGCUCGCAGCGGUUCUGACGUGCAAAUCGAUCGUCAAAUCUAGGAAUAGGGGCGAAAGACUAAUCGAACCAU